This 253-nucleotide ribosomal RNA is filed under the name uncultured bacterium. RNAcentral's name for it is "partial 16S ribosomal RNA". It matches the Rfam family "Bacterial small subunit ribosomal RNA", at positions 524 to 776 of the family's 1533-position model. The record is from RNAcentral.
UACAGAGGGGGCAAGCGUUAUUCGGAAUUAUUGGGCGUAAAGGGCGCGUAGGCGGCCUGGCAAGUGGAAGGUGAAAUCCCUCGGCUUAACCGAGGAACUGCCCUCGAAACUGCUUGGCUUGAGUCCGGGAGAGGUGAGUGGAAUUCCCAGUGUAGCGGUGAAAUGCGUAGAUAUUGGGAGGAACACCAGUGGCGAAGGCGGCUCACUGGACCGGAACUGACGCUGAGGCGCGAAAGCGUGGGGAGCAAACAGG